Cercocebus atys (sooty mangabey) is the source of this 351-nucleotide unclassified non-coding RNA. Its record names the gene 7SK. It matches the Rfam family "7SK RNA". Rfam says of the family: 7SK was discovered as an abundant small nuclear RNA in the mid-70s but a possible function has only recently been suggested. The record is from Ensembl. NCBI's taxonomy places the organism in Eukaryota, Metazoa, Chordata, Mammalia, Primates, Cercopithecidae.
GGUUGGCUGAAUUCAUUUUACAUAAUGACCUCUGUUACUCCGCUGAUUGCCAAGGUUGAUUCAGCUGGUGUAACUGGCUAGGCAGGUGCUGCCUUCCUCCCCUACUGCUCCAUGUGUGUCUUUCCCAAGCUGCCUGCUCAGUGGAGGGGGAGGACUUUCUUCAAUGGAGGAAGACUAUUCUUUGGUCAAGGAUAUUAGAGUAGUUGUGCUGCCCUGCUAGAACCUCCAAACAAGCCACAUUUUUUGUUUUUGUCUUCCACCCCAUAAUCUCUCUCCACAUGGACAGAGGCACUUGAAGUUUCAAUAUUUUUGCUCUAAAAUUUUAACACAUGUUUAAGAACAAAAACAUUU